Molecule: ribosomal RNA, 253 nt
Filed under: uncultured bacterium
Lineage: Bacteria
Description: partial 16S ribosomal RNA
Rfam family: Bacterial small subunit ribosomal RNA
Source: RNAcentral
GACGAACCGUCCUAACGUUGUUCGGAAUCACUGGGCUUAAAGGGCGCGUAGGCGGGUCAGCAAGUCUAGGGUGAAAUCUUUCGGCUUAACCGGAAAACUGCCUUGGAUACUGCUGAUCUCGAGGGAGGUAGGGGUCUGUGGAACUUCUGGUGGAGCGGUGAAAUGCGUUGAUAUCAGAAGGAACGCCGGUGGCGAAAGCGACGGACUGGACCUUCACUGACGCUGAGGCGCGAAAGCUAGGGGAGCAAACGGG